UACGUAGGGGGCUAGCGUUGUCCGGAAUCAUUGGGCGUAAAGAGCGUGUAGGCGGUCCGGUAAGUCCGCUGUGAAAGUCGGGGGCUCAACCCUCGAAUGCCGGUGGAUACUGUCGGGCUAGAGUGCGGAAGAGGCGAGUGGAAUUCCUGGUGUAGCGGUGAAAUGCGCAGAUAUCAGGAGGAACACCUAUUGCGAAGGCAGCUCGCUGGGACGUAACUGACGCUGAGACGCGAAAGCGUGAGGAGCAAACAGG
This 253-nucleotide ribosomal RNA is filed under the name uncultured bacterium. Its description in RNAcentral is "partial 16S ribosomal RNA". It matches the Rfam family "Bacterial small subunit ribosomal RNA", at positions 524 to 776 of the family's 1533-position model. The record is from RNAcentral.